This 506-nucleotide ribosomal RNA is filed under the name uncultured bacterium. RNAcentral's name for it is "partial 16S ribosomal RNA". It matches the Rfam family "Bacterial small subunit ribosomal RNA", at positions 29 to 523 of the family's 1533-position model. The record is from RNAcentral.
AGUGAACGCUGGCGGUAGGCCUAACACAUGCAAGUCGAACGGCAGCACAGGAGAGCUUGCUCUCUGGGUGGCGAGUGGCGGACGGGUGAGGAAUACAUCGGAAUCUACUCUGUCGUGGGGGAUAACGUAGGGACACUUACGCUAAUACCGCAUACGACCUACGGGUGAAAGCAGGGGACCUUCGGGCCUUGCGCGAUGGAAUGAGCCGACGUCGGAUUAGCUAGUUGGCGGGGUAAAGGCCCACCAAGGCGACGAUCGGUAGCUGGUCUGAGAGGAUGAUCAGCCACACUGGAACUGAGACACGGUCCAGACUCCUACGGGAGGCAGCAGUGGGUAAUAUUGGACAAUGGUGGCAAGCCUGAUCCAGCCAUACCGCGUGGGUGAAGAAGGCCUUCGGGUUGUAAAGCCCUUUUGUUGGGAAAGAAAUCCAGCUGGCUAAUACCCGGUUGGGAUGACGGUACCCAAAGAAUAAGCACCGGCUAACUUCGUGCCAGCAGCCGCGGUAA